This 456-nucleotide ribosomal RNA is filed under the name Tarentola mauritanica (Moorish gecko). RNAcentral's name for it is "partial 16S ribosomal RNA". It matches the Rfam family "Bacterial large subunit ribosomal RNA", at positions 1915 to 2571 of the family's 2925-position model. Lineage: Eukaryota; Metazoa; Chordata; Lepidosauria; Squamata; Phyllodactylidae. The record is from RNAcentral.
GAACCACUUUUAACGGCCGCGGUAUCCUAACCGUGCAAAGGUAGCAUAAUCACUUGUCCCCUAAAUAGGGACUAGCAUGAAAGGCCAAACGAGGGCCCAACUGUCUCCUGGAGCCCACCAAUAAACCUGAUCUCCCAGUACAAAAGCUGAGAUAAACACAUUAGACGAGAAGACCCUGUGGAGCUUUAAGCCCAAGUAUCAACACCAAAACUACCAUUGAUACACGCUUUCAGUUGGGGCGACUAUGGAGUAAAACAAAACCUCCACGACACUACCACAGCGUAACCUAAGACCCACACGUCAACCCAUAAAUACUAUGACCCAGUCAAACUGAUCAACGAACCAAGUUACCCCAGGGAUAACAGCGCCAUCCUCCCCAAGAGUCCAUAUCGCCAGGAGGGCUUACGACCUCGAUGUUGGAUCAGGACACCCAGGUGGUGCAGCCGCUACCAAAGG